CGACGUGAGUAACCUGCCUUGGAGUGGGGAAUAACAGAUGGAAACAUCUGCUAAUACCGCAUAAUACGUCUGUGUCGCAUGGCACUGGACGUCAAAGAUUUAUCGCUCUGAGAUGGACUCGCGUCUGAUUAGCUGGUUGGCGGGGUAACGGCCCACCAAGGCGACGAUCAGUAGCCGGACUGAGAGGUUGGCCGGCCACAUUGGGACUGAGACACGGCCCAGACUCCUACGGGAGGCAGCAG
This 242-nucleotide ribosomal RNA is filed under the name uncultured bacterium. RNAcentral describes it as "partial 16S ribosomal RNA". It matches the Rfam family "Bacterial small subunit ribosomal RNA", at positions 113 to 354 of the family's 1533-position model. The record is from RNAcentral.